GCUGCCCUGCUGAACUCAGGAUGUUGGGGCAGAGAGGAAGCAGUUAUUUCUACACUCAGUGCUCAGAGCAGUGGGCACUAAGGAUGGCUUAUAGCCAGACAUC
RNAcentral lists this small nucleolar RNA (103 nucleotides) under Moschus moschiferus (Siberian musk deer). Its description in RNAcentral is "Small nucleolar RNA SNORA17 (ENSMMSG00000008860.1)". It matches the Rfam family "Small nucleolar RNA SNORA17". Rfam says of the family: snoRNA ACA 17 belongs to the H/ACA family of snoRNAs and is predicted to guide pseudouridylation of the 28S rRNA at positions U4659 and U4598. It shares the same host gene together with ACA43. Lineage: Eukaryota; Metazoa; Chordata; Mammalia; Artiodactyla; Moschidae. The record is from RNAcentral.